CCAAGCCUAAGUCCCCUGGAAAGGGGCAUCAUAGAGGGUGAUAAUCCCGUACAUGGCUUGGAGCGCCCGAGGCUUUGUGAUACGCUUUCUAAGAGUCGAGUUGUUUGGGAAUGCAGCUCAAAAUGGGUGGUAAAUGCCAUCUAAGGCUAAAUAUUGGGGAGAGACCGAUAGCGAACAAGUACAGUGAUGGAAAGAUGAAAAGAACUUUGAAAAGAGAGUUAAACAGUACGUGAAAUUGCCAAAAGGGAAGGGUAGGAGGUCAGAGAUGCGGCCUGGGAUUCAGCCUUGCUUUUGCUUGGUGUUUUUCCCAGAUUGCAGGCCAACGUCGGUUUUGGGCACUGGAGAAGGGUAGGAGGAACGUGGCACCCCUCGGGGUGUGUUAUAGCCUCCUACUGGAUACAGCGACCGAGACCGAGGACAGCAGCGUACUCGCAAGAGCGGGCCUUCGGGCACCUUUACGCUUAGGGCGUUGGCAUAAUGGCCCUCUACCACCCGUCUUG
Molecule: ribosomal RNA, 500 nt
Filed under: Moesziomyces antarcticus
Lineage: Eukaryota; Fungi; Basidiomycota; Ustilaginomycetes; Ustilaginales; Ustilaginaceae
Description: LSU rRNA
Rfam family: Eukaryotic large subunit ribosomal RNA
Source: RNAcentral